GACGUAGGGGGGCCAGCGUUGUUCGGAAUUACUGGGUGUAAAGGGUUCGUAGGCGGUGCGGCAAGUCGGGAGUGAAAUCUCUGGGCUUAACCCAGAGGCUGCUUCCGAAACUGCUGUGCUUGAGUGUGGGAGAGGCGCGUGGAAUUGCAGGUGUAGCGGUGAAAUGCGUAGAUAUCUGCAGGAACACCCGUGGCGAAAGCGGCGCGCUGGACCACUACUGACGCUGAGGAACGAAAGCUAGGGGAGCAAACAGG
Molecule: ribosomal RNA, 254 nt
Filed under: uncultured bacterium
Lineage: Bacteria
Description: partial 16S ribosomal RNA
Rfam family: Bacterial small subunit ribosomal RNA
Source: RNAcentral